UACGUAGGGUGCAAGCGUUAAUCGGAAUUACUGGGCGUAAAGCGUGCGCAGGCGGUUCGCUAAGACCGAUGUGAAAUCCCCGGGCUUAACCUGGGAACUGCAUUGGGGACUGGCGGGCUAGAGUAUGGCAGAGGGGGGUAGAAUUCCACGUGUAGCAGUGAAAUGCGUAGAGAUGUGGAGGAAUACCGAUGGCGAAGGCAGCCCCCUGGGCCAAUACUGACGCUCAUGCACGAAAGCGUGGGGAGCAAACAGG
RNAcentral lists this ribosomal RNA (253 nucleotides) under uncultured bacterium. RNAcentral describes it as "partial 16S ribosomal RNA". It matches the Rfam family "Bacterial small subunit ribosomal RNA", at positions 524 to 776 of the family's 1533-position model. The record is from RNAcentral.